UACGGAGGAUCCAAGCGUUAUCCGGAAUCAUUGGGUUUAAAGGGUCCGUAGGCGGUUUAAUAAGUCAGUGGUGAAAGCCCAUCGCUCAACGGUGGAACGGCCAUUGAUACUGUUAAACUUGAAUUAUUAGGAAGUAACUAGAAUAUGUAGUGUAGCGGUGAAAUGCUUAGAGAUUACAUGGAAUACCAAUUGCGAAGGCAGGUUACUACUAAUGGAUUGACGCUGAUGGACGAAAGCGUGGGUAGCGAAC
RNAcentral lists this ribosomal RNA (250 nucleotides) under uncultured bacterium. RNAcentral's name for it is "partial 16S ribosomal RNA". It matches the Rfam family "Bacterial small subunit ribosomal RNA", at positions 524 to 773 of the family's 1533-position model. The record is from RNAcentral.